GGGUCCCAGUCAUGUCUUUCAUCAUGGCGCCAUUGUUGCUGGAAUACAUUUUGGUUUCUCUAGUCGGUUACCAUAUCUUCUCGUAAUUUAUCGUCCUUCUUUGUGUUUGACGUUCCGCCCCUUCCUACGCUAUGGUUAAGCGGCUGCAAG
Hyla sarda is the source of this 150-nucleotide long non-coding RNA. RefSeq lists it as uncharacterized. The transcript is spliced from 3 exons. The record is from RefSeq and is a predicted model, not a curated record. NCBI's taxonomy places the organism in Eukaryota, Metazoa, Chordata, Amphibia, Anura, Hylidae.